RNAcentral lists this long non-coding RNA (362 nucleotides) under Elaeis guineensis (African oil palm). RNAcentral describes it as "long non-coding RNA (EGUI_LNC047446)". Lineage: Eukaryota; Viridiplantae; Streptophyta; Magnoliopsida; Arecales; Arecaceae. The record is from RNAcentral.
GCAUGAAAAGUUAUGACUCCUAUAUGAUGAUGUAAUGUUUGCUUUCUAUGGUUAUGCAUGGCUAUUUGGAUGGUGAUGAUCCAACUGCAUUGAUUGAGCUGGGAGUGCUCUUCCGAGAACUGUGUUACCGAAAGUUGAAGAUUAACUUACUUGAGAGAUCAGAGAAGGAUAUCAUACUUGUUGGGUAUAAAAUACCCCCAGCCGAAGUCCUCAACAGAAUCAACAACUCCGCCAACAAGGCCGAUCUUAAAGGAAGACUUCGCCCGGACUCCUACGGGAGCCGGGCUCCGUCCUCAACGUCAAGAAGACAGACUGCGUCCGGACUCCUACGGGAGCCGGACUCCGCCGACGACUUCAACAGC